AUGGAGACCUGUAUGAAUGGCAUUACGAGGGCUUAACUGUCUCCUUUUUCUAGUCAGUGAAAUUGAUCUCCCCGUGCAGAAGCGGGGAUGUAACCAUAAGACGAGAAGACCCUAUGGAGCUUUAGACACCAAGGCAUAUCAUGUCAAACACCCCUAAACAAAGGACUAAACCAAAUGAAUCAUGCCCCCAUGUC
Molecule: ribosomal RNA, 194 nt
Filed under: Thunnus atlanticus (blackfin tuna)
Lineage: Eukaryota; Metazoa; Chordata; Actinopteri; Scombriformes; Scombridae
Description: partial large subunit ribosomal RNA
Source: RNAcentral